AUGAGUCGACCUGAUGGGAUCAACAUCCCCGACGACAAGUUCUACCUUGGAGAUGCUGGCUAUGCAUGUCGGCCUGGUAUUCUUCCACCCUUCAGGAAAACAAGGUACCAUCGCAAUGAGUUCUCUGGUAGGGACUUUCCUAGGACUGCACAAGAGCUGUUUAAUCUCAGACACUCCAGCCUUAGAGUAACUGUUGAGAGGGCAUUUGGAGCUCUGAAAAAUAGGGUUAAGAUCCUGGAUCAGAAGUCAUUCCACCCAUACUCCACUCAAGUUAAGCUAAUUCUUGCUUGUUGUAUUCUGCAUAACUGGAUCCUUCAGUGGGGCUUUGAUGAACACGUGCUUGAGGAGGAAGAGGUCAAGCCUGACGAUGUUGUUAGCUCUGGCCAUGGUGUGGAGGCAUUUGACAAUGACGCUUGGAAAAACAAAAGGUUGGAGUGGGCAGAGGCAAUGUGGAUUAACAGAGGUCAAUGCAGGAUUUGA
This 480-nucleotide ribosomal RNA is filed under the name Triticum aestivum (bread wheat). RNAcentral's name for it is "partial small subunit ribosomal RNA". The record is from RNAcentral. Lineage: Eukaryota; Viridiplantae; Streptophyta; Magnoliopsida; Poales; Poaceae.